This 536-nucleotide ribosomal RNA is filed under the name bacterium A3M_VP7_H10. RNAcentral's name for it is "bacterial SSU rRNA". It matches the Rfam family "Bacterial small subunit ribosomal RNA", at positions 337 to 865 of the family's 1533-position model. The record is from RNAcentral.
UAAUACGGGAGGCAGCAGUGGGGAAUAUUGCACAAUGGGCGCAAGCCUGAUGCAGCCAUGCCGCGUGUAUGAAGAAGGCCUUCGGGUUGUAAAGUACUUUCAGCAGUGAGGAAGGUGGGUAUGUUAAUAGCAUACUCAUUUGACGUUAGCUGCAGAAGAAGCACCGGCUAACUCCGUGCCAGCAGCCGCGGUAAUACGGAGGGUGCGAGCGUUAAUCGGAAUUACUGGGCGUAAAGCGCAUGCAGGUGGAUGAUUAAGUCAGAUGUGAAAGCCCGGGGCUCAACCUCGGAAUAGCAUUUGAAACUGGUCAUCUAGAGUACUGUAGAGGGGGGUAGAAUUUCAGGUGUAGCGGUGAAAUGCGUAGAGAUCUGAAGGAAUACCGGUGGCGAAGGCGGCCCCCUGGACAGAUACUGACACUCAGAUGCGAAAGCGUGGGGAGCAAACAGGAUUAGAUACCCUGGUAGUCCACGCCGUAAACGAUGUCUACUUGGAGGUUGUGCCCUUGAGCCGUGGCUUUCGGAGCUAACGCGUUAAGU